GCUGCCACAAGCCUGUGAGAUCUUGAAGGUGGGAGGGGCGAUUCUGUGUACGAGCCAUCAUCUGGAUCCACAAACUCCUUUUUGUCCUCCCCAGAAGUUCAACUGAAUUAAGUAGGUACACUGGUGGUCACCUGUUCUUGGAUCUCCAUGUAGAUAUGAAGGUAAGUACUUUUUCCAACCAUUUGUACCUUUUGUGGUUGCUAAGACAUUUGUUGUCUAAGUACUUGCCAAAACAAAACAUUUCCACACAAUUCUCUUUUCUUAUUUAUAACUUUAAAUUUUGAUUUGAGUUAAUUUUUAGCAGAUUCAAUGUGCUGUGUGAUGCAAUUCUAAGAACAUACUGAUAUUCCCUUUGUCCCUCUCCCGCUUCCUUCCCUCUCUCACUCUCACCCUGUUCCUCCCCCCCCUUUUUUUUAGUUUUUCAGAUAACAUAUUUUAAAAUUACAUUAUUGUAAAAAGGCUUAAUACUUCACCAAAUGUCAUGCAAUUUUCACUAAGUAUUUGAUUGAUAAAGCUUUGUUUUGAACAUAGGGCAGUUUUAUGAAUGUGACUAAAAAUAAAUGCUCUUAGAUUUUCCUUUAGUUUCCUCCA
This 591-nucleotide long non-coding RNA is filed under the name Oryctolagus cuniculus (rabbit). Its description in RNAcentral is "lncRNA (ENSOCUG00000039660.1)". The record is from RNAcentral. Lineage: Eukaryota; Metazoa; Chordata; Mammalia; Lagomorpha; Leporidae.